ACAGGAACUCAGUUCUGGCACUGUUCAGGAGGGUGCCAUUGCCAUUAUAAGAGAGCAAGAGUGGUGUUCGUGAUGAGUUCUGGCACCUCUUUUUCUGCAAAAAUAGCACUGCUGGUGCUGGUAACUUUCAAGUCUUGUUAUCUAAAACUCUUUGCAAAACCCAGUUCACAAUUUAUAUCCAGUACAGCUUAGGAAUCUGAAUCACAUCAAAAUGGGAGGGUGCUUUCUUCCUAUAUAUAUAUCCCAUCCCCAUCUUAGGAGAAACAGUAGUAAUUGGGAGGGAUUAUCACAUGAUGUAUGGAAGUGAGAGCUGGACCAUAAAGAAGGCUGAUUGCCAAAGAAUUGAUGCUUUUGAAUUAUGGUGCUGGAGGAGACUCUUGAGAGUCCCCUGGACUGCAAGAAGAUCAAACCUAUCCAUUCUGAAGGAAAUCAGCCCUGAGUGCUCGCUGGAAGGACAGAUCCUGAAGCUGAGACUCCAAUACUUUGGCCACCUCAUGAGAAGAGAAGACUCCCUGGGAAAGACCCUGAUGUUGGGAAAGAUGGAGGGCACAAGGAGAAGGAGACGACAGAGGACGAGAUGGUUGGACAGUGUUCUCGCAGCUACCAGCAUGAGUUUGACUAAACUGCGGGAGGCAGUGGAAGACAGGAGUGCCUGGCGUGCUCUGGUCCAUGGGGUCACGAAGAGUCGGACAUGACUAAACGACUGAACAACAACAAAUCACAUGGUAUGCUGUGUACAUACCAUGUACACAGUUCUGAUUGCUGCAUCUCAAAAAGGAUAUUGCAGGGUUGGAAAAGGUGCAGAAAGGGGCAACCCAAAUGAUCAGGGUGCUUGACUAUUUUAUAAGGAUUAUGUUUGGGGAGUUAAGAGUGGAUGCAAUCAAACUUUAUUAAAGUUAUGCAUAAGAACAUAAGAAAAGCCGCCUGGAUCAGGUGAGUGGCCCAACCUGCUCCUGCAAUGGCCAACCAGAUUCCUGUGGGAAACCCACAAACAGGAUUUGGGCACAAGAGCACUCUCCCUUGUGGUUUCCAGCAGCUGGUAUUCAGAAGCAUCCAACACUUGGAGUCAGAGCAUAGCCAUCAUGGCUGGUAGCCACGGAUAGCUCUCGCCUCUGUGAAAUUAUCUAAUCCUCUUUUAAAGCCAUCUAGGUUGGGUGGCCAUCACUGCCUCCUGUGGAAGAAAGUUCCAUAGUUUGACUAAGUGCUUUGUAAAUAAGUACUUCUUCUUCUUCUUCCCUGCCUAUCUGGCUAGGUUUCCCCAGCUACUCUGGGCAGCUUCCAACAAAAUAUUAAAAACACAAUAAAACAUCAGAUAUUCAAAACUUCCCUAAACAAACCCACCCUCUGAAUCUUAGCAUCCUGAAUCUUCCAACAUUCAGCUUCAUUGGAUGUCAAUGAGUUCUACUAUACAGUGGUACCUCUGGUUGCGAACGGGACAUGAGCAGAACGCAACCCGCGUCUGCACAUGCACAGGUCACGAUUCGUCGCUUCUGUGCAUGCAUGUGACGUCAUUUUGAGCAUCUGCGCAUGCGCGAGCAGCGAAACCCGGAAGUAACCCUUUCCGGUACUUCUGGGUCACCGCGGGACACAACCUGAAAAGACAUAACCUGAACCAAACGUAACAAGAGGUAUGACUGUAAUGACAGAGGAAGGAAAACGUUUCUCAAUCCACUUUCUCCAUGCCAGGCAUAAUUUUAAAACUUUUAUCAUGUCAACUUUUUCUUGUCCUCUAAAUUAAAAAGUCCCAAAUGCUACAAUGUUUCUUUAUAAGGGAGUCUAUCAUCCCUUUCAUCAUUUUGGCUGCCCCUUUUUGAACCUUUUCCAACUCUACAAUAUCCAUUUUUGAAGUAAGGUGGCCAUAACUGUACACAUUAUUUCAAAUGCCGUUACAACAUAGAUUUGUGUAACAGCUUUAUUAUACCAGCAGUUUUAUUUUCAAUUCCUUUCCUAAUGAUCCUUGGCAUGGAAUUUGCCUCUUUCACCACUGUCAUUCACUGGGUCAACAUAUUCAUAAAGCUAUCUAGUAUGACUUCAAAGUUUUGUUUCUGGUCCAUUAGCACCAGUUCAUAUCCCAUGAGUGUAUAUGUGAAGUUAUGGGUUUUUGCCCCAACAUGCAACACUUUACACUUGUUUACAUUGAAUUGCACUUGCCAUUUUACCUCCCGUUCAUUCAGUUUAGAGAGGUCCUUUUAGAGCUCACCACAAUCUGUCUUUAUUUUAAUGACCCUGAACAAUUUAGAAUCAUUAGCAAAAGGCUGGAUGAGGCUGCUGAAGAGGCCAGAAAUCAUCUUGGCUGUGAGUCCUAGAACAGCUGCUUCCUGCCUUGCAGGCCUUUUCCCACCUGGCCUGGGAGGGUGAAGCCCUGACUGACUCCAGCUGCAAAAGCCUAGGCUGCUGAAGAAGCCAGAGACCAUAUUGGUUGUUCCUUAGUUCGGAAACAGGUCAUCGAACCUGAGCAUCCACAGCCGCCAUGAACCACCAUUUGCAGGGUUGGCAGCAACAGUAGCAGAUACGUUCUACGCUUAAAGUAAUAUUUUUAGUCUCUUGCUAAUUAUGCUGUUUUAAAUGUGCAUAUUUGACUUCCUUUAGUAACGUUUUCUUUUGAAGAUUUUUUUGGUUAACUUUGCUGUGUUAAAUGUGCAUUCUGUAGUUGACCUCCUUUGUAAUGUUUUAUUUCGAAAUCUUUAAGAUAGCAUUUUAGUUUCCUGCUAAUUAUUUUUGCUUUGAAUGUAUGCUUUAUAGUUGACUUUCUCCUGUAAUGUUUUAUUCUAGAUUGUUUUAUUUGAUGUUUCAAUGUAAGUUGUAAACUACUUUGAGAUUUUUUUUCUUUGAAAUAUAAAGCAGUAUACAAAGGAAAUUAUCAACAAUAAUAAUGACACUGUGAAGAGCACCUUCCACACUCUGCCCCUCCCAGCGCUGGCAGCGGCGAGGGAUGGGUAAGCACACUCUGUCCCUGCUUGGACGCGCACCUGCCCCAGGCACCUGUGGACAGUACUAUGCCCCUGGGAAGAGGAGCAGUACAUGAGUCUAUGAUUCUAUGCCAUUGCUUGUGUGCUUAGUGGGUCUCAGCCUGGCAAGCCAAGUGAAAGAAAUGGGGAAGAACAGAAGCAGCUGCACGUGGUGACAGGAGGAGGUAGAUUCAGGGAGUGGGGGGAAGCUGACAGAGUGUGCUUUACCAAAAGGGACUCCCAAAACACUGGUGCGGACGCAGUGCCUCUGAUUGCCAGUUGUUGCGCAAUAACUGUAAAUGUGGGCUAUCUCCAUGCGCUGCUUGUGGGCUUCCUAGAAGCAUCUGAUUGGCUAUUGUGGCAAACUAAAUGCUGGACUAGAAGGACUGUUAGCAGGACUCUUCUACUGCUGUCAUAUUCAUCUCCGUUCAUUCGUUUUAGCUGUUUUGAAUAUAUAAAAUAAUCACACCUGUGGACUGGUUGCUAAUGCUGUCUCUGAAGUACCAAAGUACUUCCCCAUGCUGUCAUUAAAAGACUUCCAAGUCAUGUAUGUAUUGUCACCCCCAUCAGGAAUGGAAAAAUAUGGAAAUGUGUUGUUAUUUAUAAUGCAUUCAGUUGGCUGCAUUUCUAAAAUAAUUAGAUUUGCUAGCUAACCUGACCUUAGCAGCACUGGAUUGGUUUUGGAGAAAAAUUAAAUUUUAAUCUAAAUGUUAAUUUUUUAAAUGGAUAAGCAGUUAGGAGCCACUCUAACAGACAUUUCCAUUGCGUUGGGUAUCAGUACCCCUGUCUGGAUGUGUAUUACAGAGCACUUACUCUACAGAAAAAUGAGCUUCUUCGGAAUCUCAUUUUUCCUUUUAAUCAUUGUUCUACCACAGCAUGAUUUUAGUCUCAUCUCACUUUCACAGGGAAGGUUGGGGACGUGUUGCCAAUGAGUGAAUUCAGACAAAGCUAUGAUCGAGGAAUCCCCGCAAGGUAGGACUUGGCUUGUUUCAACUCAGGCUGAUGAGAGUUGUAGUCCAAAACAUCUGGAAGGCAACAAAGACUAGUGUACAUUAGGAUGUGUGUUUUAUAGCUUAUAGCAUCUUAACUCUUUUUCAUAGCAAGCAAUAUUUUUUUACAGUGAGUAAACUAAAAAUAAAAAGGGUGCUGUAGACCAGAAACUCAGAGCAAAACAGAUUCAAAAUGGUGACUGUUUCUUAAGGCAGCGGUGCUCAUCUUAGCUUUUGUAAUCUCUGUGGUAGGCUUUCCUCAGCCCUUUUAACACCACAUCAAUCCCUAACAGCUGCUUAGGUGGCUCUGUAUCAUGUACACAUAAUCAGUCUGCAAUAUUUCCCAGCUUUUGUUGGCUGGAAUAGUGAAACAGCCAUAUGGUGACUUUUUGGGAUGUGGUGACUAUCCAUGUGUGAACAUGUUUGCAACUCACCUGCUCAUUCACCCACUUGGUAUGUUUUAAUCUCUCCACUUAUCAUCUGUAUCAGAGCAUCCAAAAGAGCGGGCACUUCUUGUAAAACAGUGCCGUCCAGAUUUUGUGGACCAUGUCCCAUCAUCCCUAGCCAUUAGCCACAUUGGCUAGAUCCAAUGCAAGCUGUAGUCCAACAGGCACACCCCUGGCUACCACUGUCUCCUAAAAGAUCACCCUCUGGUGACUUUGCCAUCAGUUUGCCAUUUAUCUCAGUGGCAUACUGAGGUGUCAAAUAUCAAAAGUGGUGUAAGAACUCAGAAACUGGGAGCUGCAACAUUGGCACAAAGUCCAGCUCACAAGACCAGUGCAAACUGUACAGUCCACAAGUCUGCCCUAGUGAGAGAAUGAAUAUACACUUCUCUCUAUGACAGUUUGUGCCUUUCCACUGAGCAAAUUGGCCCUGCUGUCUUGCCAUGCUAUCUUGUUCAAGGAAAAGAGAUGAGCAUAGAAAUAGAUCUUGUUAGAUUUUCAGGCUCUAGGAGAGAACCGUAACCUAAUCCCCUACAUAAUCUAAUUUACACAGUGCUUUCUCGCAGCCUCUGUGUUGAGAGCGGCAGCUCAGGCUUGGUAGCCAUCGUUUUGGAAGAUUCACUAGCUGCAUUUUAAAAACAACACAACAACUGAUCCCCUGUUGUCUUGCAAAUAUGCAAGUUUGCAAAGUUUGUAGCACCUUAACUAGUUAGUUCAAUCAAAUCUGUCCUUUUGCCUCAUAGAUGUACAGAGUGUGCUGAGACCUAGUAGCAGCACCAAGCCAAGACUUCAGUGUGGAGCAAAUAAAUGUAAUACUCUUUAAAGCAGGCCUUCUUGGAGCCUUGUUUCCAGUCUCCUCCCAAAUGUCCUCAUAGAAAUGCGUAAUGUUGAUCUUGUU
RNAcentral lists this long non-coding RNA (5278 nucleotides) under Podarcis lilfordi (Lilford's wall lizard). Lineage: Eukaryota; Metazoa; Chordata; Lepidosauria; Squamata; Lacertidae. The record is from RNAcentral.